UACGAAGGGGGCUAGCGUUGCUCGGAAUCACUGGGCGUAAAGGGUGCGUAGGCGGGUCUUUAAGUCAGAGGUGAAAUCCUGGAGCUCAACUCCAGAACUGCCUUUGAUACUGAAGAUCUUGAGUUCGGGAGAGGUGAGUGGAACUGCGAGUGUAGAGGUGAAAUUCGUAGAUAUUCGCAAGAACACCAGUGGCGAAGGCGGCUCACUGGCCCGAUACUGACACUGAGGGACGAAAGCUAGGGGAGCGAACAGG
Molecule: ribosomal RNA, 253 nt
Filed under: uncultured bacterium
Lineage: Bacteria
Description: partial 16S ribosomal RNA
Rfam family: Bacterial small subunit ribosomal RNA
Source: RNAcentral